Myxocyprinus asiaticus (Chinese sucker) is the source of this 5794-nucleotide long non-coding RNA. RefSeq lists it as uncharacterized. The record is from RefSeq and is a predicted model, not a curated record. The transcript has 3 exons. Lineage: Eukaryota; Metazoa; Chordata; Actinopteri; Cypriniformes; Catostomidae.
UUUAAAUAGAGGAGCUGAUUGACGCGGUGAUUGGAGGCAGGUGUGGGUGAUCAGUAUUCAGGGGAGAGAGAGGGUUGAGUGUAAGUGGCAGGAGGGUCAGAUGGAUCUGUGACAUUACCCCCCUCCACGGACCGCUCCAGAGGGAUGCGCUUCCCGACGCCAUGGCCGACCCCAUUAGGGGGUUUUUAGGGUGUGUGUCGUGGAAGUUGGAGAGUAGGGUCGAGUCCAGGAUGUUGUCUCGAGGAAUCCAAGAUCUUUCCUCAGGGCCAUAACCUUCCCAAUCUAUGAGGUACUCGAGAUGACCCCUGCGGCAGCGGGAGUCCAGAAUGUCUCGGACAGCGUCUUCCAGGAUAAGCGGCUGUAUAAGAAGAAACUCGAAGCAGCAGGGGAAGUGGAAGACCGGAUGUAUCCUUGCCUGAGGGCCUCCUCGAUAUAAUCCUCCAUGGCCUUCUGCUCGGGAAUGGAAAGAGGGUAGAUUUUGCCACAGGGCACUGGCUCACCGGGGAUGAGGUCUAUUGCGCAGUCCCAUGGUCAAUGAGGAGGUAGCUGAGAGGCCCGCAAGUGGGAAUAGCAGGAAGAGAUCUCCACAGAGGUAGAACUGGCAGGGCUCUCGAUGGUGGUUGUGUUGAGAUUGAGAGGGAGAGAUUUCCUGACAGAAACUUUGGGUCUGGGAGUGAGACGGUUUUGGAAACAGGAAGCAAAGCAUUGGGACCCCCACUUCAGGACGUCACCGGUAGACAAGGAGAUGACAGGGGAAUGUUGUAUGAAUAUGUAUCUGCGGCGGAACACUCUAGAACCAGUAGGGUAAUGUCCUUGCUGUGCAACCAUCCCACCUGGAGUUUGAAUGGACCCACACAGUGACUUAUGAUGCCUUUUCCCAAGGGCUUGCAGAUUAUGGAGUGAAUUUGGAGCUUGGGGUCACAAGGUUGCCUUUGGAGUUGGAGUUGGUGGCAGAGUGCGUCCGAGAUAAAUUUGCUGGCUGAGCCAGAGUUGAGGAGUGCGGAUACUGAAAGAGAAAAACUAUGAGCAGUAAGCGUAACAUUGGUUAACAAAGGAGAGGUACAGACCCUUGUAGUGUUUAUGUGACUCACCAGUGGAUGGGGAGGUCGAAUGGGACACGCAGAGAUUACGUGUCCCUUUCACCACAGUACAGGCACAGACCCUGGUUCAGCCUAUGUUGGCGUUCUGCCGAGGUCAGUUGAAAGGCAUCCAUCUGCAUGGACUCCCUGUUUGUUUCUGGAGAGUGGUAAGGGGACCUUCGUGGAGGGAAAGGCAGAGACUGCAAGGCGGGAGACUCAUCGAGGCAGUUCUUCAUGCAGUUGGCUACUCGGAUGGAGAGUUGGAUGAAGUGCUCCAGCCCCAUGGUGUCAUCGUAGGAUGAGAGAUGCAGCUGCAGCUUCAGUUCAAGUCCUAGGCAAUAGGUGGUAAGCAGAGCGGGUUCAUUCCAACCACUAGAUGCUGCCUGAGUGUGGAACUUAAGGGUAUAGUCAUUGAUGGAACUCUGACCCCGACAAAGAUUAUGAAGUGUCACCCUCAGGGUGUCCAAAUACCUCCUAAAAGUGCUGGGUGAAGCUAUCCAGUGAUUGUGUUACCGGGCUAUUCUGAUCCCAAAGUGAACGGGCCCAUUGUAGUGCUCAUCCGGCCAGCAGGAAGAUGAUGUUGGCAACCUUCGCCUGCUCUGUGGGGAAUCGAUGUGGCUGCAUCUCAAGGGCGAGCAAACAUCUGAGCAGAAAGCUGCCACAGUCCUCCACUGAUCCAGAGUAGGGCGCUGGAUUGACCACGGAACUGGCGGAAUAGACUGGAGAAGAAAUUGCAGAAGUGCUGGGUGAGGUUGGAGAUGCUGAGGGGUUUGCAGAUAGCGUGAGUGCUCUCCGGAGAGCGUCAACCAGCUCCUGGAUGGGAUCCGGACCUGCUGGGUUCAUGGCUUUUGUUGGUCUGGUCUUCUGUUAUGAAUAACCAGACUCGAUGAUGGAGUUGAACCCAAUAGCAGGUGUUAAUUGAGACACAAACACAAACACAAACAAAGACAAGCAGGUGAGUUGUAAUUUAACAGUUCGGGGCUGACGUGAAGAUCAAUAGCGUGAUGAUGGCAGGGGCUGACUCUGGAGGUGAUUAUACUUAAGGUGGUGAAUACACAACUAAGGUGCUUACAUUGAGGAGAAGGAUAACAGGGAUCACUGGAGUGGAGGUGGAGAGGAAUCACGGAGAAGACGUAUGGAUACACAGGUAUGUGAGUCUAUGGAGAAUGAGGUUUAAAUAGAGGAGCUGAUUGACGCAGUGAUUGGAGGCAGGUGUGGGUGAUCAGUAUUCAGGGGAGAGAGAGGGUUGAGUGUAAGUGGCAGGAGGGUCAGAUGGAUCCGUGACAGUAGCCGGUCCUUCUUUUCUUUUUGUACGGACAUAAUACGAGCACGCAAAGACAAAUCUCAGAAGCGUGAAUUUUCCCACCAAAUUUAACCCGACAGCUCUAAAUCUUAUUGGUUGCCGUACCAUAGUGAUUUGGGGUAAGGCAAGAACGCUGUUUUGAACACAGAUGUUUUUUUUGUUUUUUUAUGUACUGGCUCAAUAAUGGUAUUUUAUUCAUAUCUAACAAAAAAUUUAAUGAGAAAUUCUCUGUACCUAUUAAAGAUUUAUUAUUAUUAUUAUUUAAAAAAGAACAACUAGAAUAAUGCAGUAAUAGGCAUUUUGUUUAUCUAUUAGUUGUUGUUUGGCUACUAUUUGUAAAGAAGUCACCUUCCUUUCAGGUCAGUCAUUUAUUUGGAUUUGGAUUUGGACAUGACCAAAAUGUGAAAUGUCCAUCCAUCCAUCCAUCCUCUAUAGCCGCUUGUCCUGUGUAGGAUCACAGGUAGUGCUGGAGCCUACAAAAGGUUAAACAUUUACUUUGUAAUUAGUUCAUCCAUUUCCAAAAUUUGUAACCAUUCAGGCUGAUUUGCAGGGUGAUUUUAAACAUUAUAGCCUGGUAUUAUCACAUUCAGAGGGUAAUCGACCAAUCAUAGUGCUGUAAGGAGGCACUUCCUCCUCUCAUGUGAUUUUUCCCUGUAUUUCGCUGUUAGUACCCCAUCACACUCAUGGCACUAGUGAUGGAAAAUCUGAUUCUUUUCUGCGAACUGGUUUUUCAGACAGUUUGUUACAAUGAACCGUUUUUAAAAAACUAUUCAACAGUUCUUUUAUGUCAUCGCAUAAUGGCAUCACUAGUACAUAAUGCUAUCAACCCGGUGUCGUGGAAUACACGUUCACAUUCAAACACAUUCAAAUAAAAACAAAUGUAAUUUCAUAUUGCUGAUUAUUACAUUUUAAUCAAGUUAUAAGUUAUAAUACUAUUAUAAGUCUGUUUAUUUUAAUCAGUGUUUCAGUCAGUGAUCCUGCACCUCGAAUACAACUGAUGACUAUUGACUACAUCUUGGAUAAGUUUCCUACAUUAACAUUUUGCACCUAAAGCAUCCAAUACAGACACUGAUGUACGACGUUGAUGUUACAAGUCUAAAGCAUAUAAAGUGAAUAAACUAGUCAUAAUCAACUCACCCUUUUUACAAAAACAUAAUCCAGCUCAUAACAAUUUAAAAUAUAUUCUGCAUGCACAAUAUUCAAUAGUAAAAUUAAUUUACAUCUCUCGACUGAAAGGUUUUUGCAUAUUUUAAUAAAAAUGGAGUCUGCAGUUGUGUCAUUAAGGCAUGUCCAGCACCUGGUAAGAUAUUUAAACUGCGGGAUCCUUAGUAAGUUCAGGAGAAGCGAUCUAUUUACAGGAGUCUUUAGUUAUGUGUAAGUGUGUGUUUAUAUCAUUGUUUCACUUUGUUUUAGAAUAGUAUUCAUCACUAGACUUGUGCUGUUUGUUUACUGUGUUGUGUACUGUUUUGAACUCAUGUCGCUUCAGCGUGUGUGUGUGAGCUACAUUGUUUUGACUUGUCCUAGGGUAUUUACUGCUAGGUUUAGAUUUGUUUGUUUACUGUGUCUCUUAACAGUGAUUCACUUGUUUUAGAGUAUUAUUUAUUGCCAAGUUUAGCAUUGUUUGUUUACGGUAUACUGAAGUUGCGUUUGUUCCCACGUUUGUCAUCUCGCACGACCCUUAGUUUAGGUUAACUACAUGACUGUUUUGUUGUGCUAAGCAACAUUAAGGCGUGUCCAGAUUUUUUCACUUAACGACACAAUAGCAGCGUGUAAUUACUGACGUUAAUGCUGAUGCAGAAGCAGCAGCGGAAGUGGCAGCCCUCUUGUGAAGACUAGCGAGUCUAAUGAUGCGAGUCCACCGAGCAAGGACACUCACCAUAGCACUUAAGUAUCUUUUUUCAUUUUUUACUGUUUUCCUUAUACAUUCCCAUAUGUCUACUCCAUACAUAACACGUGCCCUCAAGCACAUCCCUGUUAUCUGUUACAGACAGUUCACACAAUGCUGAUGCAGGACGCAUCGCAACCCACACAACCUACAGUCAUUUUGCACAUUAGCAGCUGCUCUGCUCUCAUUUUCGGUUGGACUCUGGAACUGCCAGUCAGCUGUGAAUAAAGCUGUCCUCUCUCCACUAGGCCAGCACGUAUGACACCGCCCAGCCCCUGGCUCUCUGGCGUUCUUCGUGAACAUCGUACUGACCUCAAGACAGCUGAGAGGAGUUGGCAGAAAUCUAAAGAUCCAGCAGAUUUGAAACAAGCUGCUGGAUGACAAACAGUCAGGUUUCAAAAGUGGACAUUCCACAGAGACUGCCCUGCUCUCUGUUACUGAGUCACUGACAGGUGAGAGCUGGAUCCAGAUCAUCUGUCCUGAUUCUACUGGACCUUUCUGCAACCUUUGACACAGUAAACCAUCAGAUCCAAUUGUCUACCCUCUCUACUCUGGGCAUCACAGGAACUGUGAUUUGCUGGUUUAAGUCCUGUCUCUCAGCCCAACGACACCAAGGUGAUUGCUCGAAUCUCAGCCUGUUUGGCAGACAUCUCAGCCUGGAUGAAGGAACACCACCUGCAACUUAACCCAGCGAAGACUGAGCUCCUCAUCUUUCCAGCCAACCCUGCUGUUGAACACAACAUCACCGUUCAGCUGGGUUCAACUACAAUAACACCUUCUAAAACGGUCAGAAAUAUAGAGGUAACCAUGGACAACCAACUCAGUUUCAAAGACAGUACGGCCAUUUAGAUUUACAAUCUACAAUAUCAGGAAAAUAAGACCCUUCCUCUCUGAACAUGCCACACAACUUCUUGUCAGUCACUUGACAUAACUAGACUGGACUACUGUAACCCUCUCAUUGUAGGCCUCCCUGCUUGCACAAUUAGAUGCGGAGUAUGCAGCAGCACUUCUGGUCUUCAAUGAACCAAAGAGAGCACAUGUUACACCACUCCUUGUCUCUCUACACUGGCUGCCGGUUGAUUCACAUAUCAAAUUCAAGGCACUGAUGCUGGCAUACAGAACAGUCUCUUUGUCUGCUCCAGUGAACCUAAAAUCAUUUCUGCAGAGCUACAUUCCCACCAGAAGCCUGUGGUAGGCUAAUGACGGCACCUUGUUAUACCAACACAAAGAGGCACCAAAACACUUUCCCAGACUUUCAGUAUCACUGUACCUCGUUGGUGGAAUGACCUUCCCAACUCCAUCCAUGAAGCAGAUUCACUCUUUGUCUUCAAAAAACUGCUAAAAACACAUCUUUUCCAUGAGCACUUAACCAUGAACUCAUAGUAUAUACUUUUAUAUAUUCUUGUUGCACUCUAAUCUGUCUUGGAUACCACUAUUCUGAUGCUAGUGAAACUUUGUAAUGCAGCACUUUUCGUACUGCUGUCUCCUUAAGAUGAAUUGCUUUUGAUGUAUUAUUCCUCUUUUGUA